GACGAAGGAUGCAAGCGUUAUCCGGAUUCAUUGGGUUUAAAGGGAGCGUAGGUGGCCUUAUAAGUCAGUGGUGAAAUCUCUCAGCUUAACUGAGAAAUUGCCAUUGAUACUGUAGGGCUUGAGUACAGUUGCUGUGGGCGGAAUAUGACAUGUAGUGGUGAAAUACAUAGAGAUGUCAUAGAACACCGAUUGCGAAGCGCUCACAAAACUGUAACUGACACUGAGGCUCGAAAGUGCGGGGAUCAAACAGG
This 251-nucleotide ribosomal RNA is filed under the name uncultured bacterium. RNAcentral's name for it is "partial 16S ribosomal RNA". It matches the Rfam family "Bacterial small subunit ribosomal RNA", at positions 524 to 776 of the family's 1533-position model. The record is from RNAcentral.